GUUUUUUAAGGGAAGUCAGUCUCCUGGCUCUGUCUUCAUGGGAUUUCAUGAAACCUGCAGGGAUCAGUGCACGUAGAAGGCACCCUGAGAACACAGCCAGGACAUACCCCAGCAACACAGCUGGUGCAUCCUACAGCCUGCACCUUACUAUUCCUGUUGCUGUCAUCCCUGGGCACAGCUGGGAAGCAGGGAGAGCUGGGACCACAGAUGCACUGGAGGAGAUGCUCGGAGCCCCAGGCAGAAUUCUGGAUCAUGGUUGUUUUCAGCUCUCAGAUAUUUGGUAGAGAUGGAGAAGAUGGCACCUUGUGCAUCUGUGAGAGGCAGGGACCCCGGCCACCAGCCAUGGCCAGAUCCCUGACCUGGGAGCUCUGCACAGGAAAAGGUAAGAAAACAGCCUUUCCAAACGAUGGGUUUCAGGCCAGUGGCACCAUCAUCCUUUCAGAGUCCAACUGCAAGGGCAGAG
RNAcentral lists this long non-coding RNA (463 nucleotides) under Calidris pugnax (ruff). RNAcentral describes it as "lncRNA (ENSCPUG00000001364.1)". The record is from RNAcentral. Lineage: Eukaryota; Metazoa; Chordata; Aves; Charadriiformes; Scolopacidae.